Molecule: ribosomal RNA, 995 nt
Filed under: uncultured bacterium
Lineage: Bacteria
Description: bacterial SSU rRNA
Rfam family: Bacterial small subunit ribosomal RNA
Source: RNAcentral
GGGGAAUAUUGCACAAUGGGGGAAACCCUGAUGCAGCGACGCCGCGUGAGUGAAGAAGUAUCUCGGUAUGUAAAGCUCUAUCAGCAGGGAAGAAAAUGACGGUACCUGACUAAGAAGCCCCGGCUAACUACGUGCCAGCAGCCGCGGUAAUACGUAGGGGGCAAGCGUUAUCCGGAAUUACUGGGUGUAAAGGGAGCGCAGGCGGGAAGACAAGUUGGAAGUGAAAUCCAUGGGCUCAACCCAUGAACUGCUUUCAAAACUGUUUUUCUUGAGUAGUGCAGAGGUAGGCGGAAUUCCCGGUGUAGCGGUGGAAUGCGUAGAUAUCGGGAGGAACACCAGUGGCGAAGGCGGCCUACUGGGCACCAACUGACGCUGAGGCUCGAAAGUGUGGGUAGCAAACAGGAUUAGAUACCCUGGUAGUCCACACUGUAAACGAUGAUUACUAGGUGUUGGAGGAUUGACCCCUUCAGUGCCGCAGUUAACACAAUAAGUAAUCCACCUGGGGAGUACGACCGCAAGGUUGAAACUCAAAGGAAUUGACGGGGGCCCGCACAAGCAGUGGAGUAUGUGGUUUAAUUCGACGCAACGCGAAGAACCUUACCAAGUCUUGACAUCCUGCGACGGUGCUGGAAACAGUACUUUCCUUCGGGACGCAGAGACAGGUGGUGCAUGGUUGUCGUCAGCUCGUGUCGUGAGAUGUUGGGUUAAGUCCCGCAACGAGCGCAACCCUUAUGGUCAGUUACUACGCAAGAGGACUCUGGCCAGACUGCCGUUGACAAAACGGAGGAAGGUGGGGAUGACGUCAAAUCAUCAUGCCCUUUAUGACUUGGGCUACACACGUACUACAAUGGCGUUAAACAAAGAGAAGCAAGACCGCGAGGUGGAGCAAAACUCAGAAACAACGUCCCAGUUCGGACUGCAGGCUGCAACUCGCCUGCACGAAGUCGGAAUUGCUAGUAAUCGCAGAUCAGCAUGCUGCGGUGAAUACGUUCCCG